This 301-nucleotide ribosomal RNA is filed under the name uncultured bacterium. RNAcentral's name for it is "partial 16S ribosomal RNA". It matches the Rfam family "Bacterial small subunit ribosomal RNA", at positions 509 to 809 of the family's 1533-position model. The record is from RNAcentral.
CAGCAGCCGCGGGAAUACGUAGGGUGCAAGCGUUAAUCGGAAUUACUGGGCGUAAAGCGUGCGCAGGCGGUUAUAUAAGACAGAUGUGAAAUCCCCGGGCUCAACCUGGGAACUGCAUUUGUGACUGUAUAGCUAGAGUACGGCAGAGGGGGAUGGAAUUCCGCGUGUAGCAGUGAAAUGCGUAGAUAUGCGGAGGAACACCGAUGGCGAAGGCAAUCCCCUGGGCCUGUACUGACGCUCAUGCACGAAAGCGUGGGGAGCAAACAGGAUUAGAUACCCCCGUAGUCCCUGUCUCUUAUAA